CAGAGAGUGGAGUCCUGGUUUCCCCAGGGGUGGGAUGGUUGUAUCUCACAAUCAGGGUGUGUGUGCACCAAAAAGUACCACGGAGGAACUGGAGCCUUGGCAAGAGCAGGAGGGUGCCCAGAGCAGCUCUGCAAGGAAAGUGAGUGCUUUCACUCCUCUGUCAUCACCAGUCCCUGAGAGCCAUCACCACCCACCAACAGUUCCUUGAGAUAAGGCUGAGCCAGCUGGGAGAAGAAAGCCUUUGAUAUCCCCUGCCUGGCUGAGUCAGAUGAGUGACACCUGGCAGCUUGUGCACUGCCACUGUGUUAACCUGUAUGCCUCUCCUUCCCUCCCUGCUCCAUGGGCACAGCACAGGAGCAGCAGGGACAGGGCCUGGGCAGAGAGAGGUGGAGUGUGGCUGUGGAGUUCCCCGAUCCUUCCAUGGAUAUUGGCGUCUGCAGCACCUGGGAUCCACUGCACAACUCCUUCCUCCAGAGGCCAAAGCUGA
Molecule: long non-coding RNA, 487 nt
Filed under: Taeniopygia guttata (zebra finch)
Lineage: Eukaryota; Metazoa; Chordata; Aves; Passeriformes; Estrildidae
Description: lncRNA (ENSTGUG00000028835.1)
Source: RNAcentral